Molecule: ribosomal RNA, 373 nt
Filed under: uncultured organism
Description: partial 16S ribosomal RNA
Rfam family: Bacterial small subunit ribosomal RNA
Source: RNAcentral
GUAGGUGGCAAGCGUUGUCCGGAAUUAUUGGGCGUAAAGCGCGCGCAGGCGGUUCUUUAAGUCUGAUGUGAAAGCCCACGGCUCAACCGUGGAGGGUCAUUGGAAACUGGAGAACUUGAGUACAGAAGAGGAAAGCGGAAUUCCACGUGUAGCGGUGAAAUGCGUAGAGAUGUGGAGGAACACCAGUGGCGAAGGCGGCUUUCUGGUCUGUAACUGACGCCGAGGCGCGAAAGCGUGGGGAGCAAACAGGGAUUAGAUACCCUGGUAGUCCACGCCGUAAACGAUGAGUGCUAAGUGUUAGGGGGUUUCCGCCCCCUUAGUGCUGCAGCUAACGCAUUAAGCACUCCGCCUGGGGAGUACGGCCGCAAGGCUG